Molecule: long non-coding RNA, 762 nt
Organism: Marmota flaviventris (yellow-bellied marmot)
Lineage: Eukaryota; Metazoa; Chordata; Mammalia; Rodentia; Sciuridae
Source: RefSeq, a predicted model, not a curated record
GGGGCGGGGGAGGCAGACCAUAGGAGCCUUAUAAAUUGUGUUUAAGACUAGAAACACAAGCCAUCAGGUAGAUUAAGCAGAAAUAUGACACCAUCAUCUUUGAGUUUUGAGAAGAUCAUUCCAGCUGUGAGGUGGAGAGGGAAUUGGAGGAAACCUGAAAUGGGCAUAGGUGACAGUCAUGCUUUCCACCUUCUUCACCCUGAACAAGUCAUCAUCAAACAUAACUCACACUCCCCAGCCAGCCGCAAAAAACAACAAUAAAAACAUCCAAAAGCAUCCUAAGAUGAAGCAAGAAGGCCCUCACCAGAAGCUGAGCAGAUGUCAGCACCAUGCUUUGGGAUUUAAACCACCAGAACUGUGAGCUAAAAAAAUCUUUUUUUCUUUUUGCAUCAUCCAGUCUCAGGUAUUUUGUUACAGCAAUAGAAAAUGGACUAAGAUAGCAACAAAAUAUCCCUCCUCCAUAGCUGCCCAUAUACAUAUUUUGAUACUCUCAGCAAGAAAUUUUGUUUUAUCUGAAAAGACUCAUGUCAAUUUCACAACUUGCCUCAAUAAUUUCUUCUCACAAGCCCUUACUUGUGCUAUAUCCUCUCAUCUAGAAUGCCCUUCUCUCUCCUCUCUUCCUGUCUGAACCCACUUGCCUCACCUUUUGAAGACCAAGCCUACUUUCUAAGCUUAUCUAUGAACUCUACCCUAGUAAUUCCAUUUAACAACAGAAUCUUCCCCAAUCAAAUGCCUAUACUAUUCACUGUAUGAAUUGCUCAC